This 70-nucleotide transfer RNA is filed under the name Sphaerodactylus townsendi. Its description in RNAcentral is "tRNA-Thr". The record is from RNAcentral. Lineage: Eukaryota; Metazoa; Chordata; Lepidosauria; Squamata; Sphaerodactylidae.
GACCAUGGCUCAGUGAUGGAGUGUCUGUUUGGUAUGCAGAAGGUCCCAGGUUCAAUCCCCAGCAUUUACA